ACAAUAUAGUAAAUGAAAAGUCUUAGAUAAACCAGAAAGAUAAACUCAAGUUUUCUCGUAAAAACACAAACCAGCAGCUAAUAAUAUUUUUUUUAAAAAGAUAAAGAAAAACUCACUGAAGCUCCAAGAAGAAGAAGUAGUACCCUAAAAAGAGGAGAAAGAAAAUGAGGUGAAGAGCUCGAGGGGUUAGCUUAUUUUUUGCAUACAAUAAGCCCUGAGAAAGAGAGCAGUAGCUUCAACUCAGCUCUAUGCUGUUUCCCAAGACACACAAAACUCUGUUUAUUUUUUCCUUUUCUUUCUCUUCCUCUAUGUUGUUUUGUUUUUGUCAGUUGGGCCUUAGUAAAAAGACAAAGAAAAACUCACUGAAGCUCCAAGAAGAAGAAGUACGCUAAAAAGAGGAGAUAGAAAAUGAGGUGAAGAGCUCGAGGGGUUAGCUUAUUUUUUGCAUACAAUAAGCCCUGAGAAAGAGAGCAGUAGCUUCAACUCAGCUCUAUGCUGUUUCCCAAGACACACAAAACUCUGUUUAUUUUUUCCUUUUCUUUCUCUUCCUCUAUGUUGUUUUGUUUUUGUCAGUUUAGACACACAAAACUCUGUUUAUUUUUUCCUCUCUCCUUUCUCUUCCUCUAUGUUGUUUUGUUUUUGUCAGUUGGGCCUUAGGAACCAAACAAG
RNAcentral lists this long non-coding RNA (669 nucleotides) under Nicotiana benthamiana. RNAcentral's name for it is "long non-coding RNA (NBEN_LNC036112)". The record is from RNAcentral. Lineage: Eukaryota; Viridiplantae; Streptophyta; Magnoliopsida; Solanales; Solanaceae.